UAAAGCCUCCAUAAAAACUCAAAUGAAGCGGUUUUAGAGCUUCUGGGUUGGUGAACACGUGGAGGUGCUGGGAGAGUGGUGUGUCUGGAGAGGGUCUGACCUGGUCUUGGAGAAGUUUCCAGCCUUUGCAGAUGAAUACAAUACCACUGCUGUAAAUGGAGCACAAAAGCCCUUCUCCAGUCUCGCUUCAGUUCUGAGUCAUAUCAGAGUCAAGGGAUAAUCUGAGGCUGAGCAAAGAGGAAGCAUUGAGAAGAGGCCUUGCCACAGGCUGCUGACUACCUGACAUUUCACAAUGAAGAAUCAUUGCCUCAGAAAUAUUCUGAGCUUCUCAACACUCCAA
Zalophus californianus (California sea lion) is the source of this 340-nucleotide long non-coding RNA. RefSeq lists it as uncharacterized. The transcript is spliced from 3 exons. NCBI's taxonomy places the organism in Eukaryota, Metazoa, Chordata, Mammalia, Carnivora, Otariidae. The record is from RefSeq and is a predicted model, not a curated record.